RNAcentral lists this ribosomal RNA (250 nucleotides) under uncultured bacterium. Its description in RNAcentral is "partial 16S ribosomal RNA". It matches the Rfam family "Bacterial small subunit ribosomal RNA", at positions 334 to 601 of the family's 1533-position model. The record is from RNAcentral.
UGGUCCUACGGGAGGCAGCAGUGGGGAAUAUUGCACAAUGGGGGAAACCCUGAUGCAGCGACGCCGCGUGAGCGAUGAAGUAUUUCGGUAUGUAAAGCUCUAUCAGCAGGGAAGAAAAUGACGGUACCUGACUAAGAAGCCCCGGCUAACUACGAGCCAGCAGCCGCGGUAAUACGUAGGGGGCAAGCGUUAUCCGGAUUUAUUGGGUUUAAAGGGAGCGGAGGCGGUGUGAUAAGUUAGAGGUGAAAUG